CAACUUUCAACAAUGGAUCUCUUGGCUCGGGCAUCGAUGAAGAACGCAGCGAAAUGCGAUAAGUAGUGUGAAUUGCAGAAUUCAGUGAACCAUCGAAUCUUUGAACGCACAUUGCGCCCCUUGGUAUUCCAUGGGGCAUGCCUGUUCGAGCGUCAUCU
Molecule: ribosomal RNA, 158 nt
Filed under: uncultured Ascomycota
Lineage: Eukaryota; Fungi; Ascomycota
Description: 5.8S ribosomal RNA
Rfam family: 5.8S ribosomal RNA
About the family: 5.8S ribosomal RNA (5.8S rRNA) is a component of the large subunit of the eukaryotic ribosome. It is transcribed by RNA polymerase I as part of the 45S precursor that also contains 18S and 28S rRNA. Functionally, it is thought that 5.8S rRNA may be involved in ribosome translocation.
Source: RNAcentral